UAGCCAGAGAGUAGUGGUACCCACGCUUGCGGGCUCAUAAGAUGCCCCACUAACAGUAAUAAUGCAAAUUUUAUAUUUGUGUGUUUUGUUUUACACGAUUUUGUUCCUUCGCUGUGGAAGUCAUUCGUAAAAAUUUGUUAAGUACAUAUUUCGUAGGAAAAAUUAGUACCCGCCUGCGGGAUUCCAACACCAGCAUAGUCGCAUCGACCGACACGAAUGCACCGGGAUCUUAUCCUUUAGGCCACGACGACUUCAGAUUUGGUAGUAUUACGAGUAUCAACACCACGCAAACAGUCUUAAGAGUAUCUGGAAAUUGGAGGAAGUUUAACGAGGAAGUUAAACUACUAGAAUUAAUGGCAGAAAGUAUUAGUAGCUUCAAGAUUAAGGAUAAUCAGAUUCUUUGAUUAAGAAAUUUACAGCAAAGGUAAUUUCCUCCUCCUUGCAUCGUAUUCCUCAUUGCUGAGGGUCGUGACCACCCUUUUGUAUCACCUUCGCACGCACGAUUUUUCUCCAUCCAUUCUUGUCUCUGGCGGUGUGGAGGGCGUUGUGAAACGUGGAAUCAAGAGCGGUGCGGAUCUGGUCGGACCAACGUAUUGGGCUGCGCCCCCGAGGUCUUUUCCCAUCUACUUUACCAGUCACGAUGAGCCUCUCGAGAUUGCUACCAUCCUUUCGUGCGAUGUGACCAAAGUAUUCAAGGACUCUGCGAAGACACUCGUAGGUAAUUUAAAUGAUAGGAUAAUUACUACUAGAAAUUGUUAUGAACUAAUUCUAAGAAUACGUCGUUUGCAUAUUUAAAUAUUAACGAAAGAUCAACAGCGUUAUUAAAUGGAACAGUACAUUCGGUUUCAAUUUCAGGGGCGGGCGUUCAAAAGCGUUUUGUUUUUAGAUUGUCACUUUGUAUUUGUACCUUGUAAUAGGGAAAGCACGACGUUGGAAUAUAUAAUUUACUAUUAACGGUAUUUUCGGAAAACGAAGAAAGGAUCGCUGAAUCGGAAAGAAUUUAAAUAUUAACGAAAGAUCAACAGCGUUAUUAAAUGGAACAGUACAUUCGGUUUCAAUUUCAGGGGCGGGCGUUCAAAAGCGUUUUGUUUUUAGAUUGUCACUUUGUAUUUGUACCUUGUAAUAGGGAAAGCACGACGUUGGAAUAUAUAAUUUACUAUUAACGGUAUUUUCGGAAAACGAAGAAAGGAUCGCUGAAUCGGAACGACAAUUAUGGAGCACGGAAGACUGUUUUUUUUUUAAUUAUAUGCGAUGGACAUUGGAAGGAUUCCUGUUAUCUAACAAAAAGGUUCUAUCGUUGGAAUUUUAAUGUUUGCAAUUAAUAAAACAUUGUUAAAAUAA
Long non-coding RNA from Bombyx mori (domestic silkworm), 1341 nucleotides. RefSeq lists it as uncharacterized. NCBI's taxonomy places the organism in Eukaryota, Metazoa, Arthropoda, Insecta, Lepidoptera, Bombycidae. The record is from RefSeq and is a predicted model, not a curated record. The transcript has 3 exons.